GACGAACGCUGGCGGCGUGCCUAAUACAUGCAAGUCGAACGAACCGCGACUAGGUGCUUGCACUUGGUCAAGGUGAGUGGCGAACGGGUGAGUAACACGUGGGUAACCUACCUCAUAGUGGGGGAUAACAGUCGGAAACGACUGCUAAUACCGCAUAGGACAUAGGAUCACAUGAUUCUGUGAGGAAAGGUGGCGCAAGCUAUCGCUAAGAGAUGGACCCGCGGUGCAUUAGCUAGUUGGUAGGGUAAAGGCCUACCAAGGCGAUGAUGCAUAGCCGACCUGAGAGGGUGAUCGGCCACAUUGGGACUGAGGCACGGCCCAAACUCCUACGGGAGGCAGCAGUAGGGAAUCUUCCGCAAUGGACGCAAGUCUGACGGAGCAACGCCGCGUGAGUGAAGAAGGUCUUCGGAUCGUAAAGCUCUGUUGUUAGAGAAGAACAGCGCAUAGAGUAACUGUUAUGCGUGUGACGGUAUCUAACCAGAAAGCCACGGCUAACUACGUG
RNAcentral lists this ribosomal RNA (502 nucleotides) under uncultured bacterium. RNAcentral describes it as "partial 16S ribosomal RNA". It matches the Rfam family "Bacterial small subunit ribosomal RNA", at positions 28 to 507 of the family's 1533-position model. The record is from RNAcentral.